This 305-nucleotide ribosomal RNA is filed under the name uncultured bacterium. RNAcentral's name for it is "bacterial SSU rRNA". It matches the Rfam family "Bacterial small subunit ribosomal RNA", at positions 335 to 640 of the family's 1533-position model. The record is from RNAcentral.
GUUCCUAGGGAGGCAGCAGUGAGGAAUAUUGGACAAUGGACGAGAGUCUGAACCAGCCAAGUCGCGUGAGGGAGUACUGCCCUAUGGGUUGUAAACCUCUUUUGUCGGGGAGCAAAAGCCGGACGUGUCCGGCUGUGAGAGUACCCGAAGAAAAAGCAUCGGCUAACUCCGUGCCAGCAGCCGCGGUAAUACGGAGGAUGCGAGCGUUAUCCGGAUUUAUUGGGUUUAAAGGGUGCGCAGGCGGAUUUUUAAGUCAGCGGUCAAAUCGUGGGGCUCAACCCCAUCCAGCCGUUGAAACUGGGGAU